This 254-nucleotide ribosomal RNA is filed under the name uncultured bacterium. RNAcentral's name for it is "partial 16S ribosomal RNA". It matches the Rfam family "Bacterial small subunit ribosomal RNA", at positions 524 to 776 of the family's 1533-position model. The record is from RNAcentral.
UACGUAGGGGGCAAGCGUUGUCCGGAUUUAUUGGGCGUAAAGAGCUCGUAGGCGGUUCGGCAAGUCAGAUGUAAAAACUCCAGGCUCAACUUGGAGAGGCCAUCUGAUACUGCCGUGACUAGAGUCCGGUAGAGGAGCACGGAAUUCCAGGUGUAGCGGUGAAAUGCGUAGAUAUCUGGAGGAACACCGGUGGCGAAGGCGGCGACCUGGGUUGACACUGACGCUGAGGCGCGAAAGCGUGGGGAGCAAACAGG